RNAcentral lists this ribosomal RNA (253 nucleotides) under uncultured Desulfovibrio sp. RNAcentral describes it as "partial 16S ribosomal RNA". It matches the Rfam family "Bacterial small subunit ribosomal RNA", at positions 1132 to 1382 of the family's 1533-position model. Lineage: Bacteria; Pseudomonadati; Thermodesulfobacteriota; Desulfovibrionia; Desulfovibrionales; Desulfovibrionaceae. The record is from RNAcentral.
UGGGCACUCUGGUGAGACUGCCCGGUUAACGGGGAGGAAGGUGGGGACGACGUCAAGUCAUCAUGGCCCUUACGCCUAGGGCUACACACGUACUACAAUGGCGCAUACAAAGGGCAGCGAUACCGCGAGGUGGAGCCAAUCCCAAAAAGUGCCGUACCCAGUCCGGAUUGCAGUCUGCAACUCGACUGCAUGAAGUUGGAAUCGCUAGUAAUUCGAGAUCAGCAUGCUCGGGUGAAUGCGUUCCCGGGGCCUU